UGAAUACAUUAGCAUGGAAUAAUAAAAUAGGACGGCAUGGUUCUAUUUUGUUGGUUUCUAGGAUCACCGUAAUGAUUAAUAGGGAUAGUUGGGGGCAUUAGUAUUCAAUUGUCAGAGGUGAAAUNCUUGGAUUUAUUGAAGACUAACNNNUGCGAAAGCAUUUGCCAAGGAUGUUUUCNNUAAUCAAGAACGAAAGUUAGGGGAUCGAAGACGAUCAGAUAC
Molecule: ribosomal RNA, 222 nt
Filed under: uncultured fungus
Lineage: Eukaryota; Fungi
Description: partial small subunit ribosomal RNA
Rfam family: Eukaryotic small subunit ribosomal RNA
Source: RNAcentral